Molecule: ribosomal RNA, 253 nt
Filed under: uncultured bacterium
Lineage: Bacteria
Description: partial 16S ribosomal RNA
Rfam family: Bacterial small subunit ribosomal RNA
Source: RNAcentral
UACGGAGGGGGCUAGCGUUGUUCGGAAUUACUGGGCGUAAAGCGUGCGUAGGCGGUUAUUUAAGUCGGAUGUGAAAGCCCCGGGCUCAACCUGGGAAUUGCAUUCGAGACUGAAUAGCUAGGGUGCGGUAGAGGGAAGCGGAAUUUCCGGUGUAGCGGUGAAAUGCGUAGAUAUCGGAAGGAACAUCAGUGGCGAAAGCGGCUUCCUGGACCAGCACCGACGUUCAGGCACGAAAGCGUGGGGAGCAAACAGG